This 500-nucleotide ribosomal RNA is filed under the name uncultured bacterium. RNAcentral describes it as "partial 16S ribosomal RNA". It matches the Rfam family "Bacterial small subunit ribosomal RNA", at positions 30 to 523 of the family's 1533-position model. The record is from RNAcentral.
AUUGAACGCUGGCGGCAUGCCUUACACAUGCAAGUCGAACGGCAGCACGGGAGCAAUCCUGGUGGCGAGUGGCGAACGGGUGAGUAAAGUAUCGGAACGUGCCCAGUCGUGGGGGAUAACGUAGCGAAAGUUACGCUAAUACCGCAUACGAUCUAUGGAUGAAAGCGGGGGAUCGCAAGACCUCGCGCGAUUGGAGCGGCCGAUAUCAGAUUAGGGAGUUGGUGGGGUAAAGGCUCACCAAGCCGACGAUCUGUAGCUGGUCUGAGAGGACGACCAGCCACACUGGGACUGAGACACGGCCCAGACUCCUACGGGAGGCAGCAGUGGGGAAUUUUGGGCAAUGGGCGAAAGCCUGAUCCAGCCAUGCCGCGUGCAGGAUGAAGGCCUUCGGGUUGUAAACUGCUUUUGUACGGAACGAAAAGGUUUGGCCUAAUAAGCUGAGCUCAUGACGGUACCGUAAGAAUAAGCACCGGCUAACUACGUGCCAGCCGCCGCAGUAA